Molecule: long non-coding RNA, 951 nt
Organism: Cucumis sativus (cucumber)
Lineage: Eukaryota; Viridiplantae; Streptophyta; Magnoliopsida; Cucurbitales; Cucurbitaceae
Exons: 3
Source: RefSeq, a predicted model, not a curated record
AACACAUAUUCUGCUGCUCGCUGGUGACUCCAUUUACAGAGAUAACAAAUCCCAACCAACAAACGGAGACAAUCGAUCAGAUGGAGUGGCGGUGACUUGGGUAGCAGCGACAUCUAUUGGGCGACUUGGACAACAACAACAAUUUCAUUGAAACUAAAGUCUGGGUCUUAUGGAUUGUGUGUCAACAAUUUCUAUAUCUUUCUUUUUAGCCAACUUUGCGGCCUUGUCCUUCCCCCAUUCCGAUUUCUUGCAUUUCCUAAUCAUUUCUCUCUCCUUCACCUUUCAUCUUCACAAGGGUUCGAGAGAUCUUCAAGCAGGGUUGGCACUUCAUUGCGAUUUCUUUUUCUUAAGAUGCUGCUAAGAUAAUUUUGGUGGAAGAAAAGAAAUGGAUCAAUGCCGAAGGGUUUGAAGAGUAAAUGUCAAUCUACUUUUUGGAUUUGAGGAGUGCAAAGUGUCUCUUUUAUGAAGGCCUUCUUGGAAUGAUUCCAAUAUUGCGUCUUGAGGGAAUUGGCUUUAAGGAUGGUCCUUUGUUUGCUGCUCUUCAUGGAAAGACACAAGCCAAAGAAGUUGAAAUACUCAUAUGUUGUAAUACUCUCAUGUGAUGGUGCUGCAACAAGGAAAUCUUCAUGGAAUCCUCCUAAGCUUUUUUAUAUUACAUUUCUUGAGGGGGAGACAAUCAGGGAAUGACUCUACUUCGACAAGUCUAGACGAGCCUUUGAGAGCGAGAUCAAAUAUAAGUAUCUACAGCUUAGUCAGGGCAACACUACUUUGUUGAGUUUAGUUACAUGAGUCAGAUAGAUACAUUGUUCAGUUCACUUAACGUGUAUUGUUGAGUUUUUUUUUUUUAUGGUUUUUACUUUGUUCAUUUUAGAAAAUGAGUUUUUACUUUGUUCUUCUCAAUCACAUCGGUUACAGCCUCUAUAUCACAAAUGAUCAACUUCAAGAAUACAA